This 117-nucleotide small RNA is filed under the name Escherichia coli. Its description in RNAcentral is "partial RtT sRNA". It matches the Rfam family "RtT RNA", at positions 16 to 130 of the family's 130-position model. Rfam says of the family: This family represents a bacterial cis-regulatory element known as RtT RNA. The exact function of RtT is unknown although it is thought that it may be involved in changing the cellular response in relation to amino acid starvation. Lineage: Bacteria; Pseudomonadati; Pseudomonadota; Gammaproteobacteria; Enterobacterales; Enterobacteriaceae. The record is from RNAcentral.
GAAAGGAUGAGAAGCUUCGACCAAGGUUCGACUCGAGCGCCAGCGAGAGAGCGUUGCCGCAGGCAACGACCCGAAGGGCGAAGCGCGCAGCGCUGAGUAAUCCUUCCCCCACCACCA